This 253-nucleotide ribosomal RNA is filed under the name uncultured bacterium. Its description in RNAcentral is "partial 16S ribosomal RNA". It matches the Rfam family "Bacterial small subunit ribosomal RNA", at positions 524 to 776 of the family's 1533-position model. The record is from RNAcentral.
UACGUAGGGUGCGAGCGUUAAUCGGAAUUACUGGGCGUAAAGCGUACGCAGGCGGUUCGCCAAGUCAGGUGUGAAAUCCCCGGGCUUAACCUGGGAAUUGCGCUUGAAACUAGCGGGCUUGAGUGCGGCAGAGGGGGGUGGAAUUCCACGUGUAGCAGUGAAAUGCGUAGAGAUGUGGAGGAACACCGAUGGCGAAGGCAGCCCCCUGGGUCGACACUGACGCUCAUGCACGAAAGCGUGGGGAGCAAACAGG